Molecule: long non-coding RNA, 2470 nt
Organism: Felis catus (domestic cat)
Lineage: Eukaryota; Metazoa; Chordata; Mammalia; Carnivora; Felidae
Exons: 4
Source: RefSeq, a predicted model, not a curated record
GCAGUGUGACGGGAGUUAAUGUUCCCCAGAGCCUUACAUUCGGCUCUUGGCUUCUCUUAUAUUCUCUUUGCUGGCUUCCGCGUCUGUAUAUUUGUCUAGAGUCCAUUGCCUUGACUUCUACACUGUUUCAUCCAACUGUCUGAAUGCCGCCUGAAGACCCAAGAUGACGAGAGUGCCCCAAGUUGAUGGUGGUGUUCCAGGCAUCCGGGCUCUGAUGCCCCUGAGCUGUGGUGACAGCCCUCGAGGGGCCAAAGGUGGCCAAGCACAGUUCUGGAAGGGUGUGACUGAGCCUGUGUUGGGAGGGGUGGUAACCACCGAGCUGGAAGAGAAAGAGGCAAGGGUUGCUGUCAUCGGGAUUUGGAUGGGUUGAAAGAGCCAUCCAGAAACGCUGGUAAGACAAAGAAUUUGAAAGGGAGAAAGUAUGAAUGCCAAAUAAAGAAAAGCCCUUGAAAUGUGGCCAAAGACCUAUAUUAUAUGGAGAAAUAUCAGAAGCUAGUAUUUCGAACAGGAUGCUAUUAAUAUUUUAUUUCCAUCAGAAGCGUCAUGAAAAAGGAAGGACUUUGGAGGUCAGGAUUGUAGCACUGAUCAACGGCACGACUUGCUUCUCGUUUCUUACUUAUAUUCAAUGAAAACAGCUACGCCCGCACUCGAGGUUUCUCUGAAGAUUCUCAGGGUCAGCGCCUCAAAACCUGCGCUAUCCCAAUAUACUGGUGGCAAAACCCCAAAACCAAAACAAAGCGACAAACCAAACAAACCCAAGCCCAAACCACACCAAACAGACGCCUGGCCUUUGGCAGGCUCCGGGUGCACUCACUCUAUGACUUGGGGCGGAGUCCCUCGUCUUCCUGCAUCAGAGUUUGUUCAUCUGUGAAGAACGGUACCAACGCACGGAGUUGCCACGAAGAUCGUAUGGUCCACAAAUGACUCCGUGCCUGGCUCAUCAUAAGCCCUGAAUUAAGCACAGCCAAAGCCACCAGAGGAUAUACUGCAGAAGUUCCUAUCGCAAACACAGAGAAAACCCGUGAGAAAAAUUAGACGCUCUUCCUUGUAAAUAUACGCUUGCACGCUUUAAAGUAACGUGUAUAGGGUUAAUUCGAGGAAUGCAGUUGUCACUAAGGAUUCUGAUCUUAUGGCCCAAGUAUUUUUCCUAGCCCGUAUACCUGCAGCUGAACUUUAUUGAGACGAUUUCAGAAGUAGAUUAAUCAAUGCGAACUCGUCUCUCUUCAUUGUAUAUCGAUCGAUCUGCCAUUUACUAUGAAAAUGAGGCAGGAUUUAUAUACAGUGUACAUGUACCUAGUGUUACCUCACUUAAUCCUCUCAAGAUUUAUGUCAAAUAGGGUCUCGGGUUUUAUUUCGGUAGAUGAAGAAACGGAUUAAAACUGCGUCCAGGGGCCUAGAGCUGAGGACUCUACCCAUCCUGCGUACGUGGAAACUACGCCUCCUUCUUCACUCUCUGGAGGAAGUCGGCUUCCCCGAUGGAACCAAGAUAUUCCUGCUAGGGGCUAAACAUGUACACGCACUGCCAUAGGACAAAAUGCUCUCCCGAAAGAAAUUGAACGAUGCCGACAACCGCAUAAGUGACCUUUGAAGUAACUCCUUCCCAAUCGAACCUUCGGAUGAGAUGAACUUUCAGGUAAUACGAGAUCGAGAUUGCAGCCUUGUGAGAGAUCCUGAAGCAGGGGACUCAGCUAAGAAGAGUUUUAUGUGGUUACGUGUGACCAGUGCCAACACGAGGUAUAUUCAGAGCCCCUGGCUUUCUAGUUGGCAGAAACAAACAUCCAUGCGGCCAACGUUGUAGUACGUACCUUCCUCUAUGAAGCUGAAAGACUCCCAAGAAACAGACGUGAUUAGAAAUUACCUCCUCAAGAAACCAUCAAAACAUGGUUCACCUCCUGAACAUUCCGUUUAUCUCCUGAUCUAGCGGAGGUGGCCCGUGUUUCGUUCCUUGAUCGUGCUACCCUCUCUCUCCCAGGAUGGGCCACACCUGCCCCCAGCCUCUCUUGUUUCUUCCUUAGUAUCAUGGAAGAGGUCUUUUACAAGGGGACUCAAACACUUCAGCAGAGGAAUACUGUUGUGUUUCUCAGAAGAACUGCUCGCAUCAGACCACGGGUCACCAGGGCAGGACUUGCCACGGGCCCCAUCUCACCGACAAUUUCCAUUACACAUUCCUGACCGUGCACUGAAUAUUUUACUAAAGACAAGCAUCCAGAACACUAUGCCUGCACGAUAAAGGCUCUCCCCCACCAGCUUCAGAAAUGAGUGACAAGAAUUUUAUUAGUCAAGGAGAUGUCUAUUGAAGCAAUGCAACAGUGAUUUUAUUGCUGCUUAAGUGGAAAGCUUUAUUGUGUACGUCUUUGUUUGCUUUUAAUCAUUCUGUGACACUCCGAUGGGUGGUAUAGAAAUGUAAAGAUAAUGUUCUUGAAAGGCUCAUGUGAUUGUUUGAAAACAUAAAGGAAUAAAACUUAAUUAA